Molecule: ribosomal RNA, 253 nt
Filed under: uncultured bacterium
Lineage: Bacteria
Description: partial 16S ribosomal RNA
Rfam family: Bacterial small subunit ribosomal RNA
Source: RNAcentral
UACAGAGGUGGCAAGCGUUGUUCGGAAUUACUGGGCGUAAAGGGCGCGUAGGCGGCCUACUGAGUCAGGCGUGAAAGCCCCGGGCUUAACCUGGGAAUUGCGUCUGGGACUGGUACGCUAGAGUUCGGGAGAGGAGAGUGGAAUUCCCAGUGUAGAGGUGGAAUUCGUAGAUAUUAGGAAGAACACCAGUGGCGAAGGCGGCUCACUGGUCCGGUACUGACGCUGAGGUGCGAAAGCGUGGGGAGCAAACAGG